AGAGAUUGGUUCUGGUUUUGUUUGGAGUCUCCUCGGUCAAAAGAACACGCAAAGCAAACCACCCACCCCCAACACAACGCCACACAACACAAACCGUGUGCAACACAAAGAAAGUCGGUGUUAACCUCCCUCUCUUCCAAACCCUAAUCGCCAUCCCCAACCCUCGUUUCUAUGACCGAGUGCUGUUGGGGCCGCUAUGUGUUAGCUUCGUCGUCGAUUCUUCGUUUCGUGAUUCUCCUGAUUCUCUUUCCACCAAAUUAUUCGGUUUGACGCCAUGGAUUUGGUACCCAGCGUUAAGGAAAAAUUGAACUAUUUUCGUAUUAAAGAGCUCAAAGAUGUGCUCACUCAGUUGCACCUUUCAAAGCAGGGGAAGAAGCAGGAUCUUGUUGAUCGAAUAUUAUCUGUACUCUCAGAUGAACAAGUUUCAAAAAUGUGGGCUAAGAAGAAUGCUGGUGGAAAGGAACAGGUGGCAAAAUUAGUUGAUGAUACCUAUAGGAAAAUGCAGAUAUCUGGGGCCACUGAUCUAGCAUCUAAGGGACAGGGGGCAUCGGAUAGUAGUAGUAUAAAGGUGAAAGGUGAAAUUGAUGAUUCCUUCCAGCCAGAUACAAAGAUUCGCUGUUUAUGUGGAAGUAGAUUGGAAACAGAGGAUUUGGUCAAGUGUGAUGAUCCAAGAUGCCAAGUGUGGCAACACAUCAGUUGCGUUAUUAUUCCAGAUAAACCUACAGAAGGCAUCCCACCAGUUCCUGAUAAGUUUUAUUGUGAACUAUGUCGGCUCACUCGUGCUGACCCAUUUUGGGUUGCAGUGGCACACCCUUUACUUCCUGUGAAGUUAACAACAACCAGUAAUCCAACUGAUGGGACCAACCCUGUGCAGAGUGUGGAAAGAACAUUUCAGCUUACUAGAGCAGACAAAGAUUUGGUUUCCAAACCGGAAUUUGAUGUUGAGGCUUGGUGUAUGCUCCUAAAUGACAAGGUUCCAUUCAGGAUGCAAUGGCCGCAAUAUACAGACCUGCAGGUCAAUGGUGUUCCUGUUCGAGCAACUAACAGACCUGGUUCACAGUUGCUUGGAGCUAAUGGCCGGGAUGAUGGUCCAAUUAUCACGCCAUACACAAAAGACGGAAUUAAUAAGAUUUCGUUAACAGGAUGCGAUGCUCGCAUUUUUUGUUUAGGGGUUCGUAUUGUUAGAAGGCGCAGCAUACAGCAGAUCCUAAACUUAAUUCCAAAGGAGUCCGAUGGUGAGCUAUUUGAAGACGCUCUUGCGCGGGUGUGUCGUUGUGUUGGGGGUGGAAACGCAGAUGGUGAUGCUGAUAGUGACAGUGAUUUGGAAGUGGUUUCAGAUACUUUCAGUGUCAACCUUCGUUGUCCUAUGAGUGGUUCAAGAAUGAAGAUUGCUGGAAGAUUCAAACCUUGUAUACACAUGGGUUGCUUUGACCUUGAAGUUUUCGUGGAAAUGAAUCAACGAUCAAGGAAGUGGCAAUGUCCUGUAUGUCUCAAAAACUAUGCUUUGGAGAAUAUCAUCAUUGACCCUUAUUUCAAUCGCAUCACUUCUAUGAUGCUAAAUUGUGGUGAAGAAACUACUGAGGUUGAGGUGAAGCCUGAUGGUUCUUGGCGUGUGAAGACAAAGGGUGAAAGUGAACGCCAGGAAUUAGGGAGUCUAGCGCAGUGGCAUCUUCCUGAUGGAUCCCCAUGCGUUUCAGCUGAUGGAGAUUUGAAGAGAGUGGAUACAUUGGCAUUGAAGCAGGUCAAACAGGAAGGUGUUUUUGACACUCCAACUGGUUUAAAACUUGGCAUCAGGAAGAAUCGCAAUGGAGAUUGGGAAGUCAGUAAACCUCAGGGCACAAACACAUCUUCUGGUAAUAAAUUGAAAGCGAUUUUUGGAAAUCCCGAACAGGUUGUUAUUCCGAUGAGCAGCAGUGCUACUGGAAGUGGCCGGGAUGGUGAUGAUCCUAGUGUAAAUCAGGGUGGUGGCGGGCAUAUUGACUAUUCCACUGCAAAUGGAGUUGAAAUGGAUUCUCUGUGUCUCAAUAAUGUUGAUUUAACGUAUGACUAUACUGGACAUGGCACUUCAGCUCAGGUGGGUGGUGCAGAAGUUAUUGUUCUUAGUGAUUCUGAAGAAGAUAAUGAUCUCUUGGUAUCUCCUCCAAUUGCGUAUAGGAACAAUCAAAAUGAUGCUACAGAUGGUUAUUCUGUACAGCCACCUGUAAUGGUUGAUUCGUACGCUGAUGAUCAUAAUCUUGGUGGAAAUUCAUGCUUAGGACUCUUUCCCAAUGAUGAUGAUUUUGGGAUGUCUUCCCUGUGGUCUAUGCCUUCUGGAAGGCAGGCUGGUCCUGGAUUUCAACUAUUUGGAUCUGAUGCAGAUGUGUCAGAUGCAUUGGUCCAUCUGCAACAUGGUCCUGUGAAUUGCUCUUCAUCACUAAAUGGUUAUGCAUUAGCGCCUGAUACUGCUUUGGGAUCUGGUGGUAUCUUGCAAGAUUCCUCUGCUGGUCGGUUGGAUGCUGAUUUGAAUGGUGGUUUGGUGGACAAUCCAUUAGCAUUUGGUGGUGAUGAUCCCUCACUUCAAAUUUUUCUCCCCACUAGACCAGCAGAUUCAUCCAUGCAGAAUGAAUUGAGAGAUCAGGCAAAUGUGGCUAACGGUGUCUGCACUGAGGAGGAUUGGAUAUCCCUAAGUCUUGGAGGUGGUGCUGGUGGUAACAAUGGUGAUGCUUCUACUCAAAAUGGAUUGAAUUCUAGACAUCAAAUCCCAACCAGAGAAGUUGGAACGAAUACUUUGGAUGAUACUGUACAUUCCUAAGCUUCAUAUCAAGUUUGUUUGAGGGGCUAUGAAGGAGGAUUGGGAGCUGGGUAUUCAGUUUCUUUGCAUCGAGCACUGCUAUACCUUCUGUUAAAUGCUUCUUUACUCCUUGGAAUGAAUGAUGUUAGAACUGACAGGCCAAGUAGGCAAAGGUCAGAUAGUCCUUUCUCAUUUCCUCGCCAAAGACGUCGCUUGUACCUUUCUAUUGAUUCAGAUUCAGAGUAAAAGUCAGACCUUGUGUCUCAAAAACUUUAGGUACUCUUCUUAAAACCAGAUUUCGUAUUUAUUAACUGAAGAAAGUUGAGAGGCAUUUUUGGUCCUCAUGAAAUGGCAGUUAAUACAUAUAUGUGGUCUAAGGCAUCUCUGGUGGAACAGAGCUACAAGUUACCCUCCCAAAAUGUUUGCACCCACCCCAUCGACAAGGAUGUUGGUCGUAAUGAUUCUUUGUGCUUGGUAUCUAAAUUGUCUUAUGUUGGUAGGCCAAGCUGGAGCUAUUAUUCCCAUCAUUUUUCGAAGAGGGUGUGCUGGAGGUAUACUGCUGCUUUUAUUGUAUAGUUGAUCAUUCGAAUAUGGUAGUUUAAACUUUGAAAUUUGGUGGGACAUUAUAUCAGCAUUUUUGUCUCUGCGGAGAGCAAUAACCUGUAAAUGAUUUAGCCAUAUCAGAUCCAACAGUUAAAUCAAAGAUAUUGUUUCUCUUAAGUUGGUCAUUUUUCUAGAAUGUUAUGGUGUUAUCAUUCCUCAUCA
Molecule: RNA transcript, 3535 nt
Organism: Vigna unguiculata (cowpea)
Lineage: Eukaryota; Viridiplantae; Streptophyta; Magnoliopsida; Fabales; Fabaceae
Gene: SIZ1
Gene name: DNA-binding protein with MIZ/SP-RING zinc finger, PHD-finger and SAP domain-containing protein
Source: RefSeq, a predicted model, not a curated record